GAUGAACGCUAGCGGCAGGCCUAAUACAUGCAAGACGAACGGUAAGUUUGAUAGCAAUAUUGAACCUAGAGUGUCGUAAGGGUGCGUAACACGUAUGCAAUCUACCCUCAACAGGAGGAUAGCUCCCCGAAAGGGGAAUUAACACUCCAUAAGAUCACAGGAUGGCAUCAUUCAGUGAUUAAAACUCCGGUGGUUGAGGAUGAGCAUGCGCAUGAUUAGUUAGUUGGCGGGGUAAUGGCCCACCAAGACGAUGAUCAUUAGGGGAACUGAGAGGUUGAUCCCCCACACUGGCACUGAGAUACGGGCCAGACUCCUACGGGAGGCAGCAGUAGGGAAUAUUGGACAAUGGGUGCGAGCCUGAUCCAGCCAUGCCGCGUGCAGGAAGACGGCCUUCUGGGUUGUAAACUGCUUUUCCACGGGAAGAACCCUCCGACGUGUCGGAGACUGACGGUACCGUGGGGAUAAGCAUCGGCUAACUCGUGCC
This 484-nucleotide ribosomal RNA is filed under the name uncultured bacterium. RNAcentral describes it as "bacterial SSU rRNA". It matches the Rfam family "Bacterial small subunit ribosomal RNA", at positions 28 to 509 of the family's 1533-position model. The record is from RNAcentral.